CAUUAAUCUUUUUUCUUCCUUGCAACGAAAUCCUUCUCCCCUCCUCCAAGCCACCAGAAGGACGAAUCGCUUCCUUUUCUCGAUUAUAUCCCCCAGUUCUUGAAUUGGAAUCCGAUCCACCUUGGUCUAGGUUUCAUGGCCACCGACGGCGAUCCUGGUGUCUCCGCCGACCCGGGCGCCGUCGGCGAGGCUGAUGCAGUCACUAUCCAUGUCCGAUCCUCCAACGGGUCCAAACUCUCGGUGCGGGCCUCACUCGAGUGCACGGUAGGGGCCUUCAAGGUUCUCCUGGAGGAGAAGUCCGAUGUCCCGGCGGAGCGGCAGCGGUUGAUUUACAAAGGCCAGAUUUUGAAGGACGAAAAAACCCUAAUGAGCUAUGGCUUGGAGUCAGAUCACACAAUUCAUUUGGUUCAUGGUUUGACCCUGCAAAAUCCACCUUCCGAUGUGACUCCAGCUGCUAAUAGAGUUUCAGGAGUUGAGAGUGGUGGUUCUAAUGGAGGUGGGGGAUUUGGAGGAGCUGAUGUUGCAAGCUCGCUCUUUCCUGGCAUUGGUAGUAACAUUAGAAAUGGUGCUGGAUCAGGCAUGCUUGGAUUUGGCUUACCAGAUCUCAGUCAGAUGCAGCAGCAGUUAGUGCAAAAUCCAAGCAUGAUGAGGGAAAUGAUGAAUAUGCCUGCUGUUCAGAGUCUGAUAAAUAAUCCUGACCUGAUGCGAAACAUGAUAAUGAACAAUCCUCAAAUGCGUGAGAUCAUUGACCGUAAUCCUGAGUUCGCGCACAUCCUAAACGACCCCAGCACUCUUCGGCAAUCUCUGGAAGUCAUGAGGAAUCCUGAACUCAUGAGAGAAUUGAUGCGGAGCACUGAUAGAGCUAUGAGCAACAUUGAGUCAUCCCCAGAAGGAUUCAACAUGCUUAGGCGAAUGUAUGAAACUGUCCAGGAGCCGUUUCUUAAUGCUACAGCAGGGGCAGGAAACGAGGGGAAUGAUGUGGGUCAAAAUCCAUUUGCAGCACUUUUGGGGAAUCAGGGUGGUGUGCAGUCUAGAGAUCUGACACCAGACCAGCCUGGUACUGGUUCCAAUCAAACUAGUGAAUCAUCUUCACCAAAUAGUAACCCACUUCCAAACCCAUGGAGCAGAACUGGAGUGCAGACAACCAAUACCACACCAGCUCCUCCUCAUGAUGGAAGAUCUCCAAGCAUUGGUGGAUUAUCAGGGUUAGAAAGGAUGGCUGGUGGAUUGACAGACCCAUCCUUUGUCAAUCAACUUCUGCAAAACCCAGCCAUUAUGCAGAUGACGCAGAGUCUCCUCUCCGACCCUCAGUUUAUGAAUCAGGUUCUGAAUCCACAACUCCGUAACUUGUUGGGUUCCAACUCUCAGCUUAGCAGUAUGUUACAGAAUCCAGAAUUAAUUCAGCAGCUUACUUCUCCUGAGACACUGCAGCAACUUCUAUCAUUUCAGCAGACACUUUUAUCCCCAGGUGGCCAGCGGCAAACAAGCCAGGAACAAAAUCAGACUGGUGCCACUGCAACAGGAGCGAUCAAUACCAGUGGCUUAGAAUUUAUGAUGAAUAUGCUUAGUGGACUUGGGUCUGGCAUGGGGGCUCCUAACCCUGAUGUGCCUCUUGAGGAACGAUAUGCAACACAGCUUUCUCAGCUACAAGAAAUGGGCUUCUCUGACACUCAAGAAAACAUUCGCGCAUUAGAAGCCACUGCUGGAAACGUCCAUGCUGCAGUUGAUUGGCUUUUGAGGAGCCCUCAUUGAUGGAUCUGUCAUAUCUAAAGAACAAUACCGACGGUUUCAGCUUCAUAAUUUUUGCAGCGACUUUAACAAAUCAGGCAUUCAUAUUGCUAAUUCAUCCUGGAAGGCGUUUUAUUGUAAUAGUCUGUUGGCAUCGUAUUUUGAGCCUAUAAUUAACAAACAGUAAGCCUUAUCGUGGUUCACCAAUUUUCAUAAGUUGAGUUUGGUUAAUGUUGUGUGGUUAUGAAUAAAGUGAGAAAACAAAGUCUUAGAAUCCCAAGUAGAAAUUAUUUUCCCAUUGUAUAUCAGAAAACUAAAUUUGGUCUUAAGAUCAAGUAGAACUUUCUUUGUAAUACUUCACUGUGUUUGCUAAUGAAAAUAGUUAGUGUUAAUAUUCUGACACUUAAGUUUA
Zingiber officinale is the source of this 2140-nucleotide RNA transcript. It is a transcript of the gene named ubiquitin domain-containing protein DSK2b-like, with no coding region annotated. The record is from RefSeq and is a predicted model, not a curated record. Lineage: Eukaryota; Viridiplantae; Streptophyta; Magnoliopsida; Zingiberales; Zingiberaceae. The transcript is spliced from 9 exons.